GGGGAUUUAGCUCAGCGGUAGAGCAUUUGCCUAGCAAGUGCAAGGCCCUGGGUUCGGUCCCCAGCUCCA
RNAcentral lists this transfer RNA (69 nucleotides) under Rattus norvegicus (Norway rat). It matches the Rfam family "tRNA". Rfam says of the family: Transfer RNA (tRNA) molecules are approximately 80 nucleotides in length. Their secondary structure includes four short double-helical elements and three loops (D, anti-codon, and T loops). Further hydrogen bonds mediate the characteristic L-shaped molecular structure. tRNAs have two regions of fundamental functional importance: the anti-codon, which is responsible for specific mRNA codon recognition, and the 3' end, to which the tRNAs corresponding amino acid is attached (by aminoacyl-tRNA synthetases). tRNAs cope with the degeneracy of the genetic code in two manners: having more than one tRNA (with a specific anti-codon) for a particular amino acid; and 'wobble' base-pairing, i.e. permitting non-standard base-pairing at the 3rd anti-codon position. The record is from Rfam by way of RNAcentral. Lineage: Eukaryota; Metazoa; Chordata; Mammalia; Rodentia; Muridae.